CAGCCGCCACGGUAAUACGGAGGGUGCAAGCGUUAAUCGGAAUUACUGGGCGUAAAGCGCACGCAGGCGGUUUGUUAAGUCAGAUGUGAAAUCCCCGAGCUUAACUUGGGAACUGCAUUUGAAACUGGCAAGCUAGAGUCUUGUAGAGGGGGGUAGAAUUCCAGGUGUAGCGGUGAAAUGCGUAGCGAUCUGGAGGAAUACCGGUGGCGAAGGCGGCCCCCUGGACAAAGACUGACGCUCAGGUGCGAAAGCGUGGGGAGCAAACAGGAUUAGAUACCCCUGUAGUCCCUGUCUCUUAUAC
RNAcentral lists this ribosomal RNA (301 nucleotides) under uncultured bacterium. RNAcentral describes it as "partial 16S ribosomal RNA". It matches the Rfam family "Bacterial small subunit ribosomal RNA", at positions 509 to 807 of the family's 1533-position model. The record is from RNAcentral.